This 274-nucleotide ribosomal RNA is filed under the name uncultured bacterium. Its description in RNAcentral is "partial 16S ribosomal RNA". It matches the Rfam family "Archaeal small subunit ribosomal RNA", at positions 473 to 747 of the family's 1478-position model. The record is from RNAcentral.
AAACCAGCACCUCAAGUGGUCAGGAUGAUUAUUGGGCCUAAAGCAUCCGUAGCCUGCUUUGUAAGUUUUCGGUUAAAUCCAUAUGCUCAACAUAUGGGCUGCCGGGAAUACUGCACAGCUAGGGAGUGGGAGAGGUAGACGGUACUCGGUAGGAAGGGGUAAAAUCCUUUGAUCUCUCGAUGACCACCUGUGGCGAAGGCGGUCUACCAGAACACGUCCGACGGUGAGGGAUGAAAGCUGGGGGAGCAAACCGGAUUAGAAACCCCAGUAGUCC